Molecule: long non-coding RNA, 1612 nt
Organism: Esox lucius (northern pike)
Lineage: Eukaryota; Metazoa; Chordata; Actinopteri; Esociformes; Esocidae
Source: Ensembl
GUUUUUGUAUGUGAGAGGCAGAGAAAAAGCGUUUGAGAGAGCGGGGGCUGACGGAGGGAAGACAAACCGAGAGUUAAGAGUGUGUGAAAGAGAGAUACGGCGAGAGAGGGGGGGAUUUGUAAGGCACUUUGUAUUUGCAAACUACUAGAUGAAUUACCAUUGGAAACAGGCAGUGGAUCAGACAGACAGACAGUGUGUGUGUGUGUGUGUGUGUGUGUGGGGGACAGAUACAGAAGGUGGGAGGGAGAGGGGAGGAGGGAGAGGCAAGAACCCGUUCCCCUCAGUUCCACACCAACUUUUCAUCGUGUGCACUUGAGGGAAGUUACUCCCCGGCUAUGGAAGCGUUUUUCUUUUCUUCUUCCCCCCUUUUUUUUCCUUCUUUUUUCCCCCUACACCUUUUAACAUUCGGCAGUAACAUCGGCAGAACAAGAAAAUAACUGAAUAACUUUCCACUGUUGUUCAGCACAGCAGAGUGGGACGUGUGUGUGUGUGUGUGUGUGUGUGUGGAGGAGGAGAGGAAUGUGAAGAUGGAAGACACCGGGGGAAACAAGGGAGUGCGGCUCUGUGCUCAAUGAGGUGAGAGUCUUCUUAGCAGUCACAAGUUUCCUCUCAGCAGCGGAAGAGGAAAAUGACAGGUAUUCACCACAGCUGCACGAACCACCACUCCAGGACACCCGACACCACGGCUCUCUCCUCCUCAACUGCCAGCGCCCUCUCCACAUCAUCAAGGAACUCAACGCCAGCAUGGGUGGCGGGCAUUGAAUGGAGCUUGCCGGCCGAGAGCAUAAAGCAUCAUGUGGGCGUCAGCAUCACGUCCUGCACAUGUGAGGAUGUCAGAUGGACGACUACAGGGUGACAUGUUUGUCCUGGUGACCUCAGUAAACAUUCAACGCUGUCGGUGAGUUUGAGCAUCCGUCCAAAACCAUCGACCGUUGACUGUACCCUGAGGUCCACCAUUAAACAAGGCCGCCGGGCAAAGAAGGAUGUGGUACUUCCUCUAAAUCUCCCACGAUUCACCUGAAUCUUCAGUGAAUUCCCAUGCCGGAGUGGUUCCGAGGCCAAACGCAUAAGACUGCAAUAAACAUUCAUUGCUGUCGGUGGGUUUACAUGAGAACAACUCACUGAUCAAUGAAUGCAGACUGCGGUACAAACACCUCGAGGCCUUUGUUUUAGCUGGGAGUGUCGGGAGAACCAAUAAGAUGGCAUAGUAAAGCAGGCGGUAAUGUUAAAAGAACUGUAGUUUCUACCGUGGAAACACCACUGUCAAAUAUAGCUAUGCUAUUUUUUAUAACGUACUGACAUUUCAUUCUUGCACAUCAUGAUUCUUGUUUUUAUGCACCCUUUAUUUAAACUUGAACAUUUGUUUUUAGAUUAAAAGUCUCCUUUUCAGCAGAGUUGCUCUGGCCAAGAUGAUAGUACUAGAAGGCCGACUGCAGUGCUUUGCACACAGCAGGGAGUGUAACGCUUGCAUUAUGCCAAAACAAAAGAGCCAGAAAUAGAGUUGGAACUCAGCAAAUUGUGGUGAGAACAAUUACAGGGGGAAGAACGCAGUACUUUUUUUGAAAUAUUUUCAGUUUCGGUUGAAGUCAACCUUCUCAAAUAAAAAGUGAAA